RNAcentral lists this ribosomal RNA (228 nucleotides) under uncultured bacterium. Its description in RNAcentral is "partial 16S ribosomal RNA". It matches the Rfam family "Bacterial small subunit ribosomal RNA", at positions 118 to 347 of the family's 1533-position model. The record is from RNAcentral.
UGAGUAACCUACCCUCAACUUCGGGAUAAGCCUCGGAAACGGGGUCUAAUACCGGAUAUCACUCCUUUCUUCAUGGUUUGGGGUUGAAAGUUCUGGCGGUUGGGGAUGGGCUCGCGGCCUAUCAGCUUGUUGGUGGGGUGAUGGCCUACCAAGGCGACGACGGGUAGCCGGCCUGAGAGGGCGACCGGCCACACUGGGACUGAGACACGGCCCAGACUCCUACGGGAG